UCACAAUUUUAAAAAAUUCAUUCGAAUAAUAUAAAAAUUAAAAAUUUUUUUUUCGUAUUUCAAAACAGUCGUCCAUUCAUCACCUCAAAAGAAAAAUCCUGUUGAAUCCCCCACCUAUAACGAUUUUCGAAUGAUGGAAGAAGCAGGCUGCGCCUCACUCUUCGCGGAGCAUAAUUAUGGAGGGGAUCGUUAAUCGGUUCACCGAAGGAUCAGCCAGGCAACAGGGAACAGCGUAUGGUUGGCUGUUAUCAACGCAGCUCGUAUAUCGUCGCAAACCGUUGUAAAGUAGAGGAGCGGCGAGCGUACGAUUUCGCUGCGGGUUACAAUUACGAGCGAGGCGCGUAAUUAAAAGCUGAUGUCCCCCAUUUAUUAACGCUACCGGACGAGUGCACCGGUCGAGAGCCGCUCGUUUUAAUGCCAAACGUCAUCAGCAUCGACCGUCGUCCCCUUCGUCUCUCCCUUCCUCCCUCCCUCCCCUCCUUCCUUCCUCCAUGCUCCUUCGCCAUGAAUGGAGCCCAUUGGUUCUGAUCCACUGGCUCGCAACCACGGUUUUCGCGUAUCUCAUUUGCAUAUUUUUCACCUCGGAUACGCGUACGCCUGUUUCAUAGAUAAGAUCGAUAAUCGUUUCCAGACGACUCAAUCCGUUUUACGAGUUUUUCAGAUAAUCGGCGUGUCUACUAUGGAUUAUGGAUGCGUAACGAACAGGCUUGAUCGAUAUCUGCCGGAUUUCGAAGGAUUGAGGUUAUACGUUCCAAAGGAAAUUUUGUGACGUUUCUGUUGAAUUCGGUAUCGAGGAGAUUAACGUGGUUGUCGAUUGUGCCGAUUGUGAUGAGAUUUACUUCUAAUCGGCCACAACUGGAUUCGUUCGAACGACGAUUAUCACAGGAUAAAGAUACGUUAAAUGGAUCAUUAACGUCGAUAUCGAGAAAUCAAUGAAGGAUUACACGAUAGAUCGCUCAAAUUCCCGUCGAUCGUUGCGUCACACACGGUCAUCAAUACGUCGAAAAUAUAAUUAUUCUCGCGGUACCGCUUGCCAUAUGUUGCUUUUAACAACGUACCCCGUUCGAGCAUAAUCUCUCGAGGAAGUGGUUUUUAGAGUCGAAAGGUGCUUCUGCUUGAUCUUUCACCUUCUAUCUAUCCGUUGAAAUUCUGUUAGAGAGAAUAGAAGAAUGUAAAUAUUAUCGGCUUAAAUGCUUAGAGGAUUAGGAGAGGGGCUAAUUUAAUUUAUGAACAUUAUGAAAUUGAGAAGAACAAUCGAUAAAUAUUUUACGUAUUUAGGAAUUCUUUAACGAAGGAUAUUUAAGGAUAAUAUAUAGAUUUCACGGUUCGUGGCUUCUUGACAUCACGCUCUUCUCCCUUUAUUUUGAACUCAUUUGGCUACAGAAUAUCACAACAUGAUAGAUCGAACUUUAUAGAUAGAAUUGCACCGAUCAUAAUGUAUGUGAAAUUCUCUUCCAUCGAUCGAAUCGAUGUUUUCGAUCUUUUACACAUUUUUGAACAAAAUCGAUAUUUAAUAUUUACAAAAUGUAUAUUAUAAUCUGGAAGAAUUGGAUUUACUUCGGAAUGAGGAAUUCUUCGAAAGAAAUUGACUCGAUUAAAAUUUAUCCGGAUCCAUAUAAAAUAUAAAAUAAAUGACGAUAAAUUUCGAUUCGAUCGGUCGAAUUUCACGAAAAAUAUGAUCGAUGAUAACGUCAUAACGAGUGAUUGACGCCAUGUUCAACAGACAUAUCAUUUUGUUGAUCUUUUUUUUCUUUUUUUCUUUUUUGUACACACACCUUAAGUACAAAACAGCAGAAGUAACGAUGCGCACAGACAGACAACGAUACACAGAUUUAAAUGGGCUACGCCACAUUCAUAAAUAUACUCUUGACACUUAUGCAACUGAGCACCGCUUAUACAACGCGACGAUGAUAAAAUAUUAUUUUCCAGCGACGGUUCACUGGCGCGAUUUAGCUUUUGAUGCAUGGUUCCGUUGUUCUCCUUUUUUUUUUACGCGAUUAUCAACGUGUGCAAUUUGUUUCAUACCUCGAUUCGAGAUUGAAAUAUCAUUGAAAACUUUGUGAAAGUUUCGUCUCGAACAAUUCGAACAAUUUAUAUUCAGUAAUGGAGAUAGAAUUUGCAAGGGAUGCGAAUAUAAUGUUUUAUAUACGUCCAUCUUUCGUUCGUUAUUAGUUUCUUUUUUAAAUUUAUUUGUUAUCUCAGCUUUGUAAUUUAAAAAGUUUUUUAAAAAUUUUUUUAAAAAUUUUCGUAUUGGUAUUGUAAUUUUUAUAAUGAUACGUGUUAUUUUUGAGUGAUACUCGAGAAGGGUGUGACGUCCAUUUUGUUGAUCUCUGAAACUUAUUGAAAGGCUGUAUAAGUUUUUAUAAAAAAAAAAAAAAAAAAAAGAAAAUGCAUAAAUUAUAAAAAUCAUUAAUUGUAGUUCUUAACAGUGGAAUCAAUCUCGAACAAAGUUUUUCAAUAAAUUACAUUGACGUACAUUAUUUUGUAAAUAAAUCCAUCAAUCAUGUCAAUUAUUUGCAAAUUAAUUUUGAAUAAUUUUAAUUAUUCCUUCAAGAAGAAUUAUAUAAAUUAUAAUUAGUAAUACUAUAUUUUGUAUGACACAUUUUAAAUAUCGUUACAAAUUCACGAAUCACCGUGAAACAGAGAGGCAAUACACUCAUAGAUUACAAUCUUCUAAUAAUUUUUAUCAUAUAUAUAAUCCUAUAUACUAUGUAUGUAUAUAUCAUUUUACAUUUAGCCUGAGAUAGAAGGUGUAUGUAUACCAUACGAUUAAAGUAUUGUCAACAGUACGAAAGGAGAACGACGAAA
Apis laboriosa (Himalayan honeybee) is the source of this 2808-nucleotide long non-coding RNA. RefSeq lists it as uncharacterized. The transcript is spliced from 2 exons. The record is from RefSeq and is a predicted model, not a curated record. NCBI's taxonomy places the organism in Eukaryota, Metazoa, Arthropoda, Insecta, Hymenoptera, Apidae.